RNAcentral lists this ribosomal RNA (253 nucleotides) under uncultured bacterium. RNAcentral's name for it is "partial 16S ribosomal RNA". It matches the Rfam family "Bacterial small subunit ribosomal RNA", at positions 524 to 776 of the family's 1533-position model. The record is from RNAcentral.
UACAGAGGUCCCAAGCGUUGUUCGGAUUCACUGGGCGUAAAGGGUGCGUAGGUGGCCAGGUAAGUUUGGUGUGAAAGCUCGGAGCUCAACUCCGAAAUGGCAUUGAAUACUAUCUGGCUGGAGGGUCGGAGGGGAGACUGGAAUUCUCGGUGUAGCAGUGAAAUGCGUAGAUAUCGAGAGGAACACCAGUGGCGAAGGCGAGUCUCUGGACGACACCUGACACUGAGGCACGAAAGCUAGGGGAGCAAACAGG